CAGUAGCCGCGGGAAUACGUAGGGUGCAAGCGUUAUCCGGAAUUAUUGGGCGUAAAGAGCUCGUAGGCGGUUUGUCGCGUCUGCUGUGAAAACUGGAGGCUCAACCGCCAGCCUGCAGUGGGUACGGGCAGACUAGAGUGCGGUAGGGGAGAUUGGAAUUCCUGGUGUAGCGGUGGAAUGCGCAGAUAUCAGGAGGAACACCGAUGGCGAAGGCAGAUCUCUGGGCCGUAACUGACGCUGAGGAGCGAAAGCAUGGGGAGCGAACAGGAUUAGAUACCCGAGUAGUCCCUGUCUCUUAUAC
This 301-nucleotide ribosomal RNA is filed under the name uncultured bacterium. RNAcentral describes it as "partial 16S ribosomal RNA". It matches the Rfam family "Bacterial small subunit ribosomal RNA", at positions 509 to 807 of the family's 1533-position model. The record is from RNAcentral.